UGUUGCGGAGCCAUGGCCGGCGAGAAGAAGGUGUUCGGCUUCGAGGAGGUCGCCAAGCACAGCGUCGCCAAGGACUGCUGGCUCGUCAUCGACGGCAAGGCCAGUCGCCGGACCACCGCAGCUCAUCGUCAUCGUCCACCUGCAAAGACUUCCUGCGCAAGUUCAUAUGGACGGAAAUUCUCUCCCUUGAUAAGUAGGUGACAGAGUUGCUGCCGCUCCGGCAGCAAGGCGAGGUGAUCUGCGGCGGGCGGAGGCAGGUGGCGGAGCUGCUGCUUCGGCAGCGCGGUGAGCUGGAGCAAGCGGAGGUGG
Molecule: long non-coding RNA, 309 nt
Organism: Lolium rigidum
Lineage: Eukaryota; Viridiplantae; Streptophyta; Magnoliopsida; Poales; Poaceae
Exons: 3
Source: RefSeq, a predicted model, not a curated record